AUCUCCACGAGAGGUCUCUGCAGACACAGCUACCGCAGCAGGACCAGGCUGUUGAGCCCUUCUGGGCUUAGGCACAGAAAGCACCUGGCCACUGCUAUUGCCCAGUCUCUGGGACCAAGGACUCCAGCUCCUGGGUGAUUCAGCACCUCUCAGAUGGACCUGUCCCAGCCCUGCAGACCCACAGAACAAUUAUCAGAGGAGUUUUCUCUCUGAAGAGACGUGGCAGGGAUGAAGCUGGGGACAGAAGCCUUGGCUAAACUGGACACACUUCAGGAUUUAUACCAGCCUGGAAUAAUGCCUAGAUUUUAUUUGCAAUCUUUACCAUCAGGUUGGCUAUGGAAGGAAGGGUGGAGCUGACCCACAGACAGACCCGGAUGGAAGAGCAGUCCUGGUUGUAAAUGUGAAGAUCUGCAUGACUCAGCACAGUGCUAAUGAAGAUUGGCUAAUCUCCUGCUUUCUGACCUUUAUUAUUCUUGACCAGACACUUCAGGUAUUUAAAAGGCCAAGAUUCUGCUGUCCUCGGGAUUAAUUGAUGCAGUCAGGAGAAAUCAGUUGGCAAAGAAUUUAGUAAUCCUGUUAGAUUUUUUUAUAUUCUGACCCUUUGUAGAUUUUAAAAGCAUUAAUCCAUAAUAUUUGGAGGCUCACAGUAUCUUCUAAUAUGCUUCAAAUUUCAGACAUAUGUGAAUUAAGUCAUAUUUAUUUCAUUACUAGGAGAGAGAGACAUACUUUUGUUUGCAGAUGAAAAG
RNAcentral lists this long non-coding RNA (746 nucleotides) under Parus major (Great Tit). Its description in RNAcentral is "lncRNA (ENSPMJG00000005114.1)". Lineage: Eukaryota; Metazoa; Chordata; Aves; Passeriformes; Paridae. The record is from RNAcentral.